UGGGGAAUCUUGGACAAUGGGCGCAAGCCUGAUCCAGCCAUGCCGCGUGAGUGAAGAAGGCCUUCGGGUUGUAAAGCUCUUUCAGCAGGAACGAAACGGUCGGCUUUAAUAAAGUCGGCUAAUGACGGUACCUGCAGAAGAAGCACCGGCUAACUACGUGCCAGCAGCCGCGGUAAUACGUAGGGUGCGAGCGUUAAUCGGAAUUACUGGGCGUAAAGCGUGCGCAGGCGGCGACAUAAGACAGAUGUGAAAUCCCCGGGCUCAACCUGGGAACUGCGUUUGUGACUGUGUUGCUAGAGUGUAGCAGAGGGGGUGGAAUUCCACGUGUAGCAGUGAAAUGCGUAGAGAUGUGGAGGAACACCGAUGGCGAAGGCAGCCCCCUGGGUUAACACUGACGCUCAUGCACGAAAGCGUGGGGAGCAAACAGGAUUAGAUACCCCCGUAGUCCCUGAGCGGGCUGGCAAGGCGCAU
RNAcentral lists this ribosomal RNA (471 nucleotides) under uncultured bacterium. Its description in RNAcentral is "bacterial SSU rRNA". It matches the Rfam family "Bacterial small subunit ribosomal RNA", at positions 355 to 825 of the family's 1533-position model. The record is from RNAcentral.